Molecule: long non-coding RNA, 375 nt
Organism: Cimex lectularius (bed bug)
Lineage: Eukaryota; Metazoa; Arthropoda; Insecta; Hemiptera; Cimicidae
Exons: 3
Source: RefSeq, a predicted model, not a curated record
UUUGCAUUUGAUUGAUAUUACUUCGUGCUGAUUACCAAUAUUUCAUGUUUUGUAGGAGGCAGUUAGAUUCUUCGUAAUUCCAGAUAAACAAGAAAAAUCAUAAUGAAAGUAGCAAACUACAAAGAAACAUUCACAGUGCCAACAAAUAAAUGCCAACAGUGCAAAACACCACGCAAGGGCGCAUGUAAACACAUUUAAAGAUAAAUAGAAGAGUUCUUGUGACGGCAGAUUGUGUUUAUCCUUGUUCCGACUGCGUGUGGCUUGACGAGCGUACUUACUGACUUUUGAUCUGACUUAGUAUGUCGUAUCGGACAGCAAAACCUUUCCCAUGAUCCGAAAAGGUUUGUGGCUUGGCGAAUCUCGAGAAGCCACCCA